GCCGCUAUGGUGAAAUUGGUAGACACGCUGCUCUUAGGAAGCAGUGCGCAAGCAUCUCGGUUCGAGUCCGAGUGGCGGCA
RNAcentral lists this transfer RNA (80 nucleotides) under Guaiacum angustifolium. Its description in RNAcentral is "tRNA-Leu". It matches the Rfam family "tRNA". From Rfam's summary of the family: Transfer RNA (tRNA) molecules are approximately 80 nucleotides in length. Their secondary structure includes four short double-helical elements and three loops (D, anti-codon, and T loops). Further hydrogen bonds mediate the characteristic L-shaped molecular structure. tRNAs have two regions of fundamental functional importance: the anti-codon, which is responsible for specific mRNA codon recognition, and the 3' end, to which the tRNAs corresponding amino acid is attached (by aminoacyl-tRNA synthetases). tRNAs cope with the degeneracy of the genetic code in two manners: having more than one tRNA (with a specific anti-codon) for a particular amino acid; and 'wobble' base-pairing, i.e. permitting non-standard base-pairing at the 3rd anti-codon position. Lineage: Eukaryota; Viridiplantae; Streptophyta; Magnoliopsida; Zygophyllales; Zygophyllaceae. The record is from RNAcentral.